This 1146-nucleotide long non-coding RNA is filed under the name Lathyrus oleraceus (garden pea). Its description in RNAcentral is "Pisum sativum (pea) long non-coding RNA (PSAT_LNC019324)". The record is from RNAcentral. Lineage: Eukaryota; Viridiplantae; Streptophyta; Magnoliopsida; Fabales; Fabaceae.
UCGCGAUAAUCUACUUAAGGAACAGAAAGAUAAAAAUCCAAAGAAAUUUGGAAAAGUUUUCAUAACAAUCAAAAAGUAUAAAUAAAAUUAAAACAAUUACCAGGGAAUUAAACAAAAAAUAGAGAUUCAGUUCAAAAAAGGGUGAGGGGGUCGAACUAGGCGUAUAUAUAAUCUAAUCGUUAUAAGACAGCUGGGGGAUUUUUUCCAAGAAUGAUUCUCGAAUACGAUUGAAUCGAAGAUACAACGAAUUGGUUUACGACAAAGUAUGUAUGGCUCGCGAUAAUCUACUUAAGGAACAGAAAGAUAAAAAUCCAAAGAAAUUUGGAAAAGUUUUCAUAACAAUCAAAAAGUAUAAAUAAAAUUAAAACAAUUACCAGGGAAUUAAAUAAAAAAUAGAGAUUCAAUUCAAAAAAGGGUGAGGGGGUCGAACUAGGCGUAUAUAUAAUCUAAUCGUUAUAAGACAGCUGGGGGAUUUUUUCCAAGAAUGAUUCUCGAAUACGAUUGAAUCGAAGAUACAAUGAAUUGGUUUACGGUAUGGAACAAACACAUGUAUAUGUCAUAGUAGAUAUUCAUUAGUUAUAGAUGACUAUCUAUCUAAAUUUGUCCUGCUACUACUCUAAAUUUAGGUAGGGAUUCAAAAAAAAAAGCCCACUUCCAUCUCUUGUAAUUGUGAAUUGAAUAUAAAAUGAAAUCAAAGAAAAAGGAAGGUUUAAAAUAAAUGUAAGAUAAGACCAAAAAUUGUCUGUAUUCACAAAAAACUACAAGGGUAGAAACGACAUCUCUUGUAAUUGUGAAUUGAAUAUAAAAUGAAAUCAAAGAAAAAGGAAGGUUUAAAAUAAAUGUAAGAUAAGACCAAAAAUUGUCUGUAUUCACAAAAAACUACAAGGGUAGAAACGAAAAAAGCAAAUAUCGAAAUAAUUGAGAUAAUUCAAUCAAAAUUAUUCCGUUUGAAAUUUUGAAUUACACUUCGACUAGAGAAAGAUAACUAGGAAGAAUGAAAUAAUUAAGUCAUAUAUUUUUUGUUGAUUAUAUUAUUUACUAUUUCUUAAUUUUAUUUGGAAUAGGAGAAACUUAUCAUGAAUCCACUGAUUGCUGCUGCUUCUGUUAUCGCUGCUGGGUUGGCCGUCGGGCUUGCUUCUAUUGGAC